UCUACUUAUGCCACCAUCUUGACGAGAUCUCCUUAAAAUUAAUUUCUAAAGAGCUCUAUAUAAUUAAUUUAAAGACACCAUCAGAAACAUUGGUCAUAUUACCAAGGCUUUGACUGGAAUAUCAUGUUUGAGAGAAACACAAACUCAGAUAUGACCAAACAGCUUUAAGGAACUAAAGUUGGCUCUAUGAAGCCAAUAAACCCUCUUGGAAAAAUAGUCUAGUACCUAAUUUACAUAGUUCCUGACAGCCUAACCAGGAGUAUAUCUCUCACUGUAUCCAGUUCUUUUAUCUACUUUUCUUUUAUAUAACUAAAAAAGAAAAAAACACUUGAACUAUAAUUCCAAGUUUUAUUUAAAAAUUUUCCUACUCUAUCAUUGUUUCAUGAAUGUUAUCAAUA
RNAcentral lists this long non-coding RNA (398 nucleotides) under Equus caballus (horse). RNAcentral describes it as "lncRNA (ENSECAG00000055031.1)". Lineage: Eukaryota; Metazoa; Chordata; Mammalia; Perissodactyla; Equidae. The record is from RNAcentral.